Pseudopipra pipra is the source of this 3025-nucleotide long non-coding RNA. RefSeq lists it as uncharacterized. The record is from RefSeq and is a predicted model, not a curated record. The transcript has 2 exons. NCBI's taxonomy places the organism in Eukaryota, Metazoa, Chordata, Aves, Passeriformes, Pipridae.
UGAGCCUUGAUAUUCAAAUGUAAGUGUUGUAGAAACAGGGCUUUUGAACCUUAUCCUGUUAGUUGCCAAGUGCCUUAUUUGCUGUCUGAGCUAGUGGGAGAUCUGCCUGCUUGAUAGCUUGUAGCUCUGUUAUCCAGAAAACCAUAAAGGAAGGAGUGGGUUUGCUUUAGGGUGUAAAAAUAUAUUUUACUUGAUGUUAAUUCCUACAGCUGACUACACAACUGGCUCUGAGUGACCUCCCAGAGGAUGUCUUAGAAGGAAUGUUAUGGUGGUAUGUCCUGCUAAGAGGCUGUGACUGAUGAUCCUACUUUAAAUUAUGUUUUGGAUGAGGCAGAUACAAGCAAUAACAAUGUGCAUGUUAGAAUAAAUCUUCACUCAUUUCAAGUGGGUAAUUAAAGUUGUCAGUGACUUGAUUUGGGAUCAAGAUUUCUAUAGGAGCAAGGGAAGGGUCAGUCUUUAGAUAUAUUUGCUGCUCUUGUUUGGUGUCUGAGAGUCUGUCUGCUAUCUCCCCUUCUACAGAAAUAGCAGCUUUUUUGUUUUCCUACGAUGCUUGUUUAUCCUAUGAUGCUUGAAAUCUGAACUUUUGCAUUAGUAUAUCUACCUAAAGUUAAUAAUGAGAAUCCUGACCUGGUUCAAAUCAACCGGAUUUUUUUUCCCUUUCAGUUCAGUUAAUGGCCUUUCUAUUUUUCACUCAAUACCCUUUUUUAAGAACAGCUUUUAAAAACCUGGGAUUGGAAGUAGUGCUAUAUCCUCUGCCUUAUGAAAAAACAGAUGAAGAAGAUGUGUUCAUGUAGCCAAUCAAUAGUUUUUUAACUUGGCUGUUUUAACUUUAUAUUUUUUGGAGGUGAUUAUCUCCAAAACCAGAUAGUCUGUCUAAUGGGUAUAGUAAAGGUGAUCUCUUUUAGGUUAUUUAGUUCAAUUUCCAACAGAAGUGAACUAUUCAGGAAGUGUAUUUAGAAGAGUCUAUUUUUAAAGAGUUCUAAGGCUAGAACAAAGGACAGAAGAUCAUGAUGAUAUGCUGGUAGGGCUGCCACACACAGAAGUACAAUAGCAAGCACCUCUGACUGUGGAGGAACUGUCGAAGCACUGUAAAAUGUAGUUGCUAUGUGUGAAAGAUCAAGCAGGUUAACUCCUGGGAUUUUUUUCUAUCAAGAUACUUUCUUCCUUCCAUUCUGUUGCCUGCUGUCUUCAGAGCACAGUGAUAUUGAGGCUCUGCAGAUAUAAAACAUCUGUCUUUCCAUCUCCAGUGCACUACAGAAGGAUAGCUUUCAAUUUAGUAAUAAAAAAUUUAGCUGCAUGUCAGGCUGCCUUUGUUUUUAGGAAUUUUUAUCAUCCUUGAGGCUACAGGCUAGAUAGGUAUCCCAGUAUUUUCUAUAAUGUAACCCUAUUGUUCAUUUUUUAAAAAGAAUAUUUGUAGCCAUUGUUACGGAAUCCAGAUGUAUUUAAUUUAGUCAGGAUUAGGGGCCUAAAUUAUUUUGUAUUGUGCAAUUUAGUGUUCUCUUAUGUGUCUGAAUUCUGUUCUUGAGAUGUAUGAAAACAACAGCAGGCUUGGUGUUGUAAGGAAAGAGUUCACAGUGCUAUAUUAAAAUGAAUUUGGAAAUAGGUUCAUUUUAUUAAUUUUAAAUAAUUGAAAAUGCACUUAUAUAAAACACUGGAAUUUUCAUAUUGCAAUCAAUUUGCUUAAUUUGGUUCAUUGGGUACAAAUAAGUAUGAACUAAAAAUGCACAUACACAAUGUUGUAUGCAGAAGUAGGUUUUAAAAUCAGGUCUUGAGAAUAAAUGAUAAAGUUUAUGUUUUCAGGUUAUACAAGGCAAAUAUAAUUAUAAUGCCUUUAUUGGUAGUCACCACAGGCUUAAGCUUUCAGGUUUGAACUCACAUAAAACUGUCUUAUUUUAUGAGCUAUGUCAUGUUAGUGUUGGAUAACUGGCUAGAAGAUAAAUCUGUACUUAAUAGAAAUGUCUGAGUUGAUGAUGUUUGAUAUAAUUUCUAUAGAAAGUCUAAUUUUGUUGUGAGGAAAAGAGCAGUUUUAUGGACAGCUUUAGCUGUAGGCAUGAUUACUAUCCCUCAUCAUUGCAUAUAUUCUCAGUAAUAUUUUUGCAUUUUGCACCUUAUUUAGUAUUUGAGGAUUUUAUUUUUAUUUUCAUUUUAUGCUUACUCACAGUGUACUGUUGUGCUAAAGUUUGGAGGUUUCUGUUGUUUAUAGCCAUUUUCAUAAUGGUAGAAUCAUAGAACAGUUUGUGUUGGGAGGGGUAGCCCACAGCCCCCACAGUGAGCAGUGACAUCUUCAACUCGAUCUGGUUGCACAGAGCCUUCUCUUCCCCAGGCUGAAUGACCCCACCUCUCUCAGCUUGUCUUCAUAGGAGAUGUGCUCCAGACUUCUGAUCAUCUUCAUGGCCCUCCUCUGGAUUUGCUCCAAUGGAUCCAUGCUCUUCUUAUGUUGAGUGCCCCAGAGCUGGGUGCAGUACUGCCGGUGGGGAUCUCAUGAGAGUGGAGGAGAGGGGGAGAAUCACCUUUGAGAACUCUGUUGAGGACUAAUUAAUGCUCUGCUGAGAACAAAUUCUGAGGUAUCCAGUAAAAGCAAGUUUCUGGGGAGCAGGUCUCAGAUCUUUGUUUAGAUCUGAGAUGUCUGGUGGUGUUGAAAAAGGAGGAAGGAGCUCACUAUGUCUGGUGAUCGUUCAGUAUAAAGGCAGUUAGAGAUGACUCCUUCACGUUGUGUUUUAGGAGGACAGGACCAGAGACUCAUGGCUUAUUUUAGAAGAGUUCUCCUUGUCCUUCAUUAACUGAAUGUAGCAUGAACCACUCUCAUAACUGAUUAGCAUGGGUUGUACAGCAUACAGACACUAGUCAGCUUCGCCUAGCAUAGUCCCUGUAAAACUGGCAUUUAAGCCAGCUGGCAUCUUUCUGCUGUAUUCUGGGAUUGAGAACAUGAAACGCAGUUUGUUUGGAAGGAAAGAAAUCCAGUGAGCCUUGGAAAAGCUGAGAAAAUAUCUUCCUUUCUGAUAAAAUAAAUGAGAUUUUAGCUGAA